UGGGUGCAUGCAUGUCUAAGUAUAAGCAAUUAUACAGCGAAACUGCGAAUGGCUCAUUAAAUCAGUUAUCGUUUAUUUGAUAGUACCUUACUACUUGGAUAACCGUGGUAAUUCUAGAGCUAAUACAUGCUAAAAACCCCGACUCACGAAGGGGUGUAUUUAUUAGAUUAAAAACCAAUGCCCUUCGGGGCUCUUUGGUGAUUCAUAAUAACUUUUCGAAUCGCAUGGCCUUGCGCCGGCGAUGGUUCAUUCAAAUUUCUGCCCUAUCAACUUUCGAUGGCAGGGUCUUGGCCUGCCAUGGUUACAACGGGUAACGGAGGGUUAGGGCUCGACCCCGGAGAAGGAGCCUGAGAAACGGCUACUACAUCCAAGGAAGGCAGCAGGCGCGCAAAUUACCCAAUCCCGAUUCGGGGAGGUAGUGACAAUAAAUACUGAUACAGGGCUCUUUUGGGUCUUGUAAUUGGAAUGAGUACAAUUUAAAUCCCUUAACGAGGAACAAUUGGAGGGCAAGUCUGGUGCCAGCAGCCGCGGUAAUUCCAGCUCCAAUAGCGUAUAUUAAAGUUGUUGCAGUUAAAAAGCUCGUAGUUGAACCUUGGGCCUGGCUGGCCGGUCCGCCUCACCGCGUGCACUGGUUCGGCCGGGCCUUUCCCUCUGGGGAACCUCAUGGUCUUCACUGAUCGUGAUGGGGAACCAGGACUUUUACUGUGAAAAAAUUAGAGUGUUCAAAGCAGGCCUAUGCUCGAAUACAUUAGCAUGGAAUAAUAAAAUAGGACGUGUGGUUCUAUUUUGUUGGUUUCUAGGACCGCCGUAAUGAUUAAUAGGGACAGUCGGGGGCAUCAGUAUUCAAUUGUCAGAGGUGAAAUUCUUGGAUUUAUUGAAGACUAACUACUGCGAAAGCAUUUGCCAAGGAUGUUUUCAUUAAUCAGGAACGAAAGUUAGGGGAUCGAAGACGAUCAGAUACCGUCGUAGUCUUAACCAUAAACUAUGCCGACUAGGGAUCGGACGGUGUUACUUAUUGACCCGUUCGGCACCUUACGAGAAAUCAAAGUCUUUGGGUCUGGGGGAGUAUGGUCGC
RNAcentral lists this ribosomal RNA (1075 nucleotides) under Neopestalotiopsis rhizophorae. RNAcentral's name for it is "SSU rRNA". It matches the Rfam family "Eukaryotic small subunit ribosomal RNA", at positions 45 to 1132 of the family's 1831-position model. The record is from RNAcentral. Lineage: Eukaryota; Fungi; Ascomycota; Sordariomycetes; Amphisphaeriales; Sporocadaceae.